AGGCCUAACACAUGCAAGUCGAGCGCCCCGCAAGGGGAGCGGCAGACGGGAGAGUAACACGUGGGAACGUACCCUUCGGUUCGGAACAACCCAGGGAAACUUGGGCUAAUACCGGAUACGUCCGUAAGGAGAAAGAUUCAUCGCCGAGGGAUCGGCCCGCGUCUGAUUAGCUAGUUGGUGAGGUAAUGGCUCACCAAGGCGACGAUCAGUAGCUGGUCUGAGAGGAUGAUCAGCCUCACUGGGACUGAGACACGGCCCAG
Molecule: ribosomal RNA, 260 nt
Filed under: uncultured bacterium
Lineage: Bacteria
Description: partial 16S ribosomal RNA
Rfam family: Bacterial small subunit ribosomal RNA
Source: RNAcentral